RNAcentral lists this ribosomal RNA (231 nucleotides) under uncultured eukaryote. RNAcentral's name for it is "partial 18S ribosomal RNA". It matches the Rfam family "Eukaryotic small subunit ribosomal RNA", at positions 1208 to 1456 of the family's 1831-position model. The record is from RNAcentral.
GGAAACCUUACUAGGGUAAGACAUUGGUAUGAUUGACAGAUUACUUGAUCUUUCUUGAUUUGGUGGGUGGUGGUGCAUGGCCGAUCUUAGUUGGUGGGGUGAUUUGUCUGGUUAAUUCCGUUAACGAACGAGAUCUUAACCUGCUAAAUAGUGGUGCGUAUCUCCGGAUAUGCAUAUCACUUCUUAGAGGGACUUUGUUACAUUUAAGUUCAAGGAAGUUUGAGGCAAUAA